ACCUGGAACAGCUGGCCCCCUACCCCAAGCUUCCCCAAGGACUGCACGCAGCCUGUGUUAGAAUGUUGGGGCACUGCAGGCCUCAGAAAACAGAAUCUCGCUCUCGUCUUCUCGUGGCCUCCUUUCACCUGGCUGAGCAAGACCCUGAUCCAAUUGCAGGUCAUAAGACUUUCUUUCCAUUGAGGGCCCCAUACCCAGGAGGAAGGAAUGCCACACAGAGAGGCCACGGAGAAUCUGAACAGACAGGCCUUGCUGGGCUUCCCGAGUCUGUUGGUAGUAGAUCACACCCUUUUUGUCCAGUCACAUUUCAACACGGUUGCCCAUGCUUCAAUCAUGCCUAUCCAAUGAAGUCUCCAUGAAAGGCCCAGGAGGACAGGGUUAGGGGAGCUUCCAGAGAGCUGAACGUGAGCAGGCUGACAGGAAAGUGAACAGGAACCCAUCCACGUGCUGAGGGGGUGGGAUGCACCCCAACCCCAUGGGAACAGAAGCUUCUGCACUCGGGACCCUUGCGGACCUCACCCUGUUGUCUCUUCAACUGGCUGUUUAUUUCCAGCCCUGCACUUGGGGCCCGUGCACAUCCAGGGAUUGCCUGAAAGGAACAGGCCUGCAGCUCUGCCAGAUCCAGGGUCUUGCUCUGUUGCCUCAGCUGGAAUACAGUGGUGU
Molecule: long non-coding RNA, 663 nt
Organism: Lemur catta (Ring-tailed lemur)
Lineage: Eukaryota; Metazoa; Chordata; Mammalia; Primates; Lemuridae
Exons: 3
Source: RefSeq, a predicted model, not a curated record